RNAcentral lists this unclassified non-coding RNA (349 nucleotides) under soil metagenome. Its description in RNAcentral is "partial contains 5.8S ribosomal RNA, internal transcribed spacer 2, and large subunit ribosomal RNA". The stretch from base 1 to 120 matches the Rfam family "5.8S ribosomal RNA", at positions 35 to 154 of the family's 154-position model. The record is from RNAcentral.
GAUGAAGAACGUAGCGAAAUGCGAUACUUGGUGUGAAUUGCAGAAUUCAGUGAAUCAUCGAAUCUUUGAACGCACAUUGCGCCCGCCAGUAUUCUGGCGGGCAUGCCUGUCCGAGCGUCAUUUCAACCCUCGAACCCCUCCGGGGGGUCGGCGUUGGGGAUCGGCCCUUUACCGGCCGGCCCCGAAAUACAGUGGCGGUCUCGCCGCAGCCUCUCCUGCGCAGUAGUUUGCACACUCGCACCGGGAGCGCGGCGCAGUCCAAUGCCGUAAAACACCCAACUUUCUGAAAUGUUGACCUCGGAUCAGGUAGGAAUACCCGCUGAACUUAAGCAUAUCAAUAAGCGGAGGA